RNAcentral lists this long non-coding RNA (1192 nucleotides) under Vulpes vulpes (red fox). Its description in RNAcentral is "lncRNA (ENSVVUG00000013263.1)". Lineage: Eukaryota; Metazoa; Chordata; Mammalia; Carnivora; Canidae. The record is from RNAcentral.
GUGACCACUAUGUCAAAGGAGGAUGUAGAAAAAACGGAAGGCAGUGCAGACACUCUCAUUCUAAGAUACGGACCACUGCCAGUACACAGAUAUCACUCCUCAUAUUUUGGAAUGAAUUUACAUACAGAGGUAUACAUAGAUUUCUGGAUGGUGCUAGAUGGAUGGAGCACUGCUCUGCCACAGGCCAGUCAUCUGAUUGCCCAUCCUCACCAGCUUCAGUCCGGGCCAGGUUCUUGGCCUUAAGUGGGGUUUCAUCUGAUUCAUGCCUGUAUUAUAGUCAUGCACGAUACCUAGAACAGGUCAGAUGUUCAAUAAGUAUUUCUUGAAUGAAAAAGUGAGAGAAGAAUGAAGCCUUUCUUUCUGUUGAUACCAUUUAUAGCCCACUUUAUAGGGACUGUACCUGAGGCAGGAAUGCUUCACAUGGCUGGACAGUUGGGGGGCGUUGCACAAGGAUACCAGGGCCAGGACCCACGUGGGCUUAGCAGUCAGCCCUGCCCAACCACUGUGGAGAUGAGUCCACCCUGAGAAAGGGACUUUUUCCUUUCUGCCUGAAUAAUAUGCCAUCCAGCUGUGCAUCACUGGUUUGCUGAUGAUGAUGUUGAAGGGAGGCUCAUUUUACUCUGCCCACAACAGUGUCUUUCAGGAAGGGGCUGCCCGGCUAGUGUCCCCACUAGUGAUCAGAUCAGAGCAGGGACACUAGCUGUCCCUACGGGUCAGUGUCUGGCAUGGUUGGCUCAGGCUCCAGGGGCUAGCCUUGGAGCUGGCUUCCAGUUUCCAUGUGUAGGUAACCAUUACCCAUCAGUAGACAUUUCUGACACUGAUGUGUCUCUUUGUCAGACUUAUAUAGACUUUGGUUGCUUAUUAAUUCUGUGGUUAUCUAUUUUUGUACCUCUCCAUGGCUCCAUCACAACUGAAUCUGCCCUCUGUACCUUAACUGUUGGCCCCUUCAGCCCACAUCUCUUCUCUAUUUCCUUACCAAACUUGUUCACAUGAUCCCUCUAUUUCUACCCCUACUGCCUCAGACAAUCUCAUCCUGACAUUCUUUUCUCAAAUUCUAAUCCUCCUUCAUUCUGCUUUCUGCUCAACUUCAUACUCUACUUCUCUCCUGCCUUUGGGGCUCACAUUCCUAAACGUUGAUCCCUAAAGGAACAUUGUCACAUAUUUCUUAUCUGCAUCCAUGCAUCUGUUCCUG